RNAcentral lists this ribosomal RNA (407 nucleotides) under Bakeriella sp. Its description in RNAcentral is "partial large subunit ribosomal RNA". The record is from RNAcentral. Lineage: Eukaryota; Metazoa; Arthropoda; Insecta; Hymenoptera; Bethylidae.
CAUCUCUUUUUGAUUAAAAUUUAAAGUUGUCUCUGCCCUAUGAUUUAUUAAAUGGCUGCAGUAUUUUGACUGUACAAAGGUAGCAUAAUAAAUUGUUUUUUAAAUAAAAACUUGAAUGAAUGAGUUAAUGAAAUAUAAAUUUUAUUAAAAUAAAAUUUUGAAUUUGAUUUUAAAGUAAAAAAGCUUUAAUGUGUUUAAGGGACGAGAAGACCCUAUAGAAUUUUAUAUAAAAUAUUUAAUAAUUAAGUAUUUUAUAUUUAUUUGGGAGGAAUAAAUAAUUAUAAAACUUAAAUUGAUUUUUUACAUUUAAUUUGUGAAUUAUAUUGAUUAUAUAAAUAUAUAAGAUUAAAUUACCUUAGGGAUAACAGCGUAAUAUUUUUUUAUAGUUCAUAUUGAAAAAAAUGUUU